CAGCAGCCGCGGUAAUACGGAGGAUCCGAGCGUUAUCCGGAAUUAUUGGGUUUAAAGGGUGCGUAGGCGGAUAGAUAAGUCAGUGGUGAAAGACGGUGGCUCAACCAUCGCAGUGCCGUUGAUACUGUUUAUCUUGAAUAUGGAUGAGGUAGGCGGAAUGUGGCAAGUAGCGGUGAAAUGCAUAGAUAUGCCACAGAACACCGAUUGCGAAGGCAGCUUACCAAGGCAAAAUUGACGCUGAGGCACGAAAGCGUGGGGAUCGAACAGGAUUAGAUACCCGGGUAGUCCCUGUCUCUUAUAC
This 301-nucleotide ribosomal RNA is filed under the name uncultured bacterium. RNAcentral describes it as "partial 16S ribosomal RNA". It matches the Rfam family "Bacterial small subunit ribosomal RNA", at positions 509 to 807 of the family's 1533-position model. The record is from RNAcentral.